GGCGUGGUGGCAGAGUGGUCUAAUGCGCAAGACUUGAAUAUCCAUAUUUGAGUGAUCUUGUCUCUUCGGAGGCGUCCGUUCGAACCGGGCCCACGUCG
Molecule: non-coding RNA, 98 nt
Organism: Rhypophila decipiens
Lineage: Eukaryota; Fungi; Ascomycota; Sordariomycetes; Sordariales; Naviculisporaceae
Source: the annotation of a GenBank genome assembly